This is a small nuclear RNA of Mastomys coucha (southern multimammate mouse), 163 nucleotides long. RefSeq annotates it as U1 spliceosomal RNA. The record is from RefSeq and is a predicted model, not a curated record. The transcript has a single exon. Lineage: Eukaryota; Metazoa; Chordata; Mammalia; Rodentia; Muridae.
AUGCCAACUAGGCAGGGAGAUACCAUGAUCACGAAGGUGGUUUUCCCAGGAUGAAGCUUAUCCUUUGUACUCUAGAUGUGCUGACUCCUGCGAUGUCCCCAAAUGCAGGAAACUUGACUGCAUAAUUUGAGGUAGUGCAGGACUGUGUUCCCGUUCUCCCCUG